AUGAUGGACUAUAGGACAGGACUGCUGCUUCUAACUAUCUGCUGGACAGGUGUUGAUGGUCAGACUCUGACACAAUCUGAACCAGCGGUUAAAAAGCCUGGAGAAUCUCACAAACUGACCAGUACAGCCUCUGGAUUCACAUUCAGCAACCACUGGAUGGCCUGGGUCAGACAGGCUCCUGGAAAAGGACUGCAGUGGAUUGCUUUUAUCAAUACAGGUGGUGGUAGCACAUACUACUCUCAGUCAGUUGAAGGCCGGUUCACCAUCUCCAGAGAAAACAGCAGACAGCAGCUGUAUCUGCAGAUGAACAGUCUGAAGGCUGAAGAUUCUGCUGUUUAUUAUUGUGCUGGAGAGCCACAGUAA
This is a non-coding RNA of Scomber scombrus (Atlantic mackerel), 363 nucleotides long. Lineage: Eukaryota; Metazoa; Chordata; Actinopteri; Scombriformes; Scombridae. The record is from the annotation of a RefSeq genome assembly.